AUUGAACGCUGGCGGCAGGCCUAACACAUGCAAGUCGAGCGGAUGAAGGGAGCUUGCUCCUGGAUUCAGCGGCGGACGGGUGAGUAAUGCCUAGGAAUCUGCCUGGUAGUGGGGGAUAACGUCCGGAAACGGGCGCUAAUACCGCAUACGUCCUGAGGGAGAAAGUGGGGGAUCUUCGGACCUCACGCUAUCAGAUGAGCCUAGGUCGGAUUAGCUAGUUGGUGGGGUAAAGGCCUACCAAGGCGACGAUCCGUAACUGGUCUGAGAGGAUGAUCAGUCACACUGGAACAGAGACACGGUCCAGACUCCUACGGGAGGCAGCAGUGGGGAAUAUUGGACAAUGGGGGAAAGCCUGAUACAGCAAUGUCGCGUGUGUGAAGAAGGUCUUCGGAUUGUAAAGCACUUUAAGUUGGGAGGAAGGGCAGUAAGUUAAUACCUUGCUGUUUUGACGUUACCAACAGAAUAAGCACCGGCUAACUUCGUG
RNAcentral lists this ribosomal RNA (484 nucleotides) under uncultured bacterium. RNAcentral's name for it is "partial 16S ribosomal RNA". It matches the Rfam family "Bacterial small subunit ribosomal RNA", at positions 30 to 507 of the family's 1533-position model. The record is from RNAcentral.